GGACGGGUGAGUAAUGCUGGGAAACUGCCCGAUGAGGGGGGAUAACUACUGGAAACGGUAGCUAAUACCGCAUAACGUCGCAAGACCAAAGAGGGGGACCUUCGGGCCUCUUGCCAUCGGAUGUGCCCAGAUGGGAUUAGUUAGUAGGUGGGGUAACGGCUCACCUAGGCGACGAUCCCUAGCUGGUCUGAGAGGAUGACCAGCCACACUGGAACUGAGACACGGUCCAG
RNAcentral lists this ribosomal RNA (230 nucleotides) under uncultured bacterium. Its description in RNAcentral is "partial 16S ribosomal RNA". It matches the Rfam family "Bacterial small subunit ribosomal RNA", at positions 100 to 334 of the family's 1533-position model. The record is from RNAcentral.